Molecule: long non-coding RNA, 765 nt
Filed under: Gadus morhua (Atlantic cod)
Lineage: Eukaryota; Metazoa; Chordata; Actinopteri; Gadiformes; Gadidae
Description: lncRNA (ENSGMOG00000035457.1)
Source: RNAcentral
GUGUCCGUAAUAACUGAAAAGAGAAGGGGUGGUGCAUUGAAUAACAGGGUGUGGCACCAGAUCACAAAGCGGUCCGGAGAAUGUAGACUGCACCGCUCCUGUAUGUUUUUGCAGGUUUGCAACGUUUAAAAGUUCAGGGGAAAGUAUAUGCCUGUCUUCUGGGGUUGCUUAAAACAACAGCCUUUUGAGGGAGUGUUGUUUCUGAAUAUUAGUGUUGAGGGCCAAUAAUGCUUACUAUCAUACAUUAUUCACCAUGUCUGUGGACACAUUUGUAAGCAGUCACAUGUUAAUAUAUCCCCCCCCCCCCCCCCGUGAUAAUAUCUCACUCUGAACUCAGUUCAAAACUUGAGAGCCCUGUUUCCGUUGACUCCCGAGCUGCCCUAGCCCAAGCUAAAUCGUACAAUGAAUGGUUUAUUCUAUAUGAUUUGUAUUCUGUCAAUUUCUCUCGCACCACCCGUAUCAGACACCAUAGGAUGCCUUGAAGGCCUAAUCCGUAAAGAAACGAUACGAUGUAAAAACAUUUCAACCGGAGAUGGAUAUUAUAAAUACCCCUGGCCUUGGGUUGAAGUGUGUGAUAUUGAGCAUGAAGUUUACGCCGUCGAUCAGACGAAACUGGCUAACGGUAUUGGUGAACUCCCUCAACAAAAACUCUGUCGAAACCUGACAGUGAAAUGCUUUUACAAAAGUGAUGGCAAAAAUAAAGAAUUCUGCGCAAAAUUUGUCAUCGGUAAGAGAAAACGUGAUGCUUGUAACACUAUUAACUAA